CGAGUGGCGGACGGGUGAGGAAUACAUCGGAAUCUACUUUUUCGUGGGGGAUAACGUAGGGAAACUUACGCUAAUACCGCAUACGAUUGAAUGAGCCGAUGUCGGAUUAGCUAGUUGGCGGGGUAAAGGCCCACCAAGGCGACGAUCCGUAGCUGGUCUGAGAGGAUGAUCAGCCACACUGGAACUGAGACACGGUCCAGACUCCUACGGGAGGCAGCAGUGGGGAAUAUUGGACAAUGGGCGCAAGCCUGAUCCAGCCAUACCGCGUGGGUGAAGAAGGCCUUCGGGUUGUAAAGCCCUUUUGUUGGGAAAGCGGUACCCAAAGAAUAAGCACCGGCUGACUUCGUGCCAGCAGCCGCGGUAAUACGAAGGGUGCAAGCGUUACUCGGAAUUACUGGGCGUAAAGCGUGCGUAGGUGGUCGUUUAAGUCCGUUGUGAAAGCCCUGGGCUCAACCUGGGGACUGCAGUGGAUACUGGGCGACUAGAUGUGGUAGAGGGUAGCGGAAUUCCUGGUGUAGCAGUGAAAUGCGUAGAGAUCACGAGGAACAUCCAUGGCGAAGGCAGCUACCUGGACCAACAUUGACACUGAGGCACGAAAGCGUGGGGAGCAAAC
RNAcentral lists this ribosomal RNA (613 nucleotides) under uncultured bacterium. RNAcentral describes it as "bacterial SSU rRNA". It matches the Rfam family "Bacterial small subunit ribosomal RNA", at positions 92 to 773 of the family's 1533-position model. The record is from RNAcentral.